CGCCGCUGUUACAUCUUCCUACUCUAGAAGAGAGAAGUGAGAGAUUACUGCGUGUGGCUCAUUAAGAAGGUUUUAUUUUGUCUGCAAAAUUUCCCCCCCGUCUAUUGUCUCUCCACCCUCUCAGCAAAAGUCUCGGCAGAAUCACAUCCCUGGGUGCAUCGCAGCGUUGAGAUAAAUGCAGAAAAUGAACUGGAAGAAAACAGGGAGGCGAGAAAAACGCGUGCCUGGCCGACGAUGGCCGAAAACUCAAAGGAGAGAUGGUUACACUGCAUCGCCAGCUUGCCUCAUCUGAAUCCCUGACUCCUGACCUCCCCUGAGGAAGGUGCUCACUGUCAGAAGAACCCCCGGCAUCCUACCGCCACAGAAAGGUGAUUCCUUUAAAGCGGAAGAAACGGAUGAAGGAGCAAGAGGGGGCUGCGCAAGGUGGGCAGACGGGGAGGGGAGCUGUCGCUUGUGUCAGGUUAACCUCAGAGACACAUCCGGAGCUCAGCAUCUGGGAGACGGAGGGGAGAAAGGCACCGUCGCUCCAUUUGGUGCAAUUUCCCCACGGCAGCAACAGAUAGCAACAAAAGUUCCGUUGAGGUCUUUAAGAAAACACCCCUGGUGUGUGAGUGUGUAAAAGGCAAGAUUCCCAAUAUUCAGCAGAAGACGAGAUGUGUGCAUGUGUCUAUGACAAAGAGGCAGAUGAAGAGAGGAAGAUAAGAGAAAAAGAUGACAGCACUCAAAGGCUAAAGGCAGUGCUUUCUCUCAUCUCCUGACCAACGGCUGACUCUGAGACUGAGAGCCGAGAGCGGAUGGAGUGACCCAGCUCCCCAUGACCCUGCUGAACUGAGUGUGAGGCUCCCCAGCUAAACCCACCAGAGCUCCAGCUCCUGUAAUUGGGUUAAAGCUCUGCAUUGCCUUAUUGAUGUGCAAAUGCUAACUGUCGAGGCAUGUCACUUUCAGACAUAUUACAGAACACCUCGAGGAUGACUGCAGGAGAUCAAGGACACCAAUGCAUCAUUUCAUAUCAAACCCCAAACAUGCGAGGGGUGCCGUUCGUUAAAAUUUAGGCUAUCAAGAAAUAUCCCAUUCAAAAGAAAUGUCUAAUUUGAAGCAGUCCUUGACAGUACACGAUCAUAUCUUAUCGUAUUUAACAACCACUUUUGACAUGAGUUAUGCCACCCUAAAAAAGAAUGUUCUCACAAAUUAUGAUAAUAAUUAAAAUGAUGGGAAGUAUGAAAAUGUCAGUUAACCAGGAGGAUGUACAGUCAGUCAGAAAUUCAAAAUAUUAAAGUUGUGCCCGAAUGGGUCAGACUAAUGAAAAUCGAUGGACUGAUUACAAAAUAAACAACAUUGAUUAAAUAUUACGUAGAAAGUACUG
Carassius gibelio (silver crucian carp) is the source of this 1363-nucleotide long non-coding RNA. RefSeq lists it as uncharacterized. The transcript is spliced from 4 exons. NCBI's taxonomy places the organism in Eukaryota, Metazoa, Chordata, Actinopteri, Cypriniformes, Cyprinidae. The record is from RefSeq and is a predicted model, not a curated record.